RNAcentral lists this ribosomal RNA (232 nucleotides) under uncultured bacterium. Its description in RNAcentral is "partial 16S ribosomal RNA". It matches the Rfam family "Bacterial small subunit ribosomal RNA", at positions 99 to 334 of the family's 1533-position model. The record is from RNAcentral.
CGGACGGGUGAGUAAUGUCUGGGAAACUGCCUGAUGGAGGGGAAUAACUACUGGAAACGGUAGCUAAUACCGCAUAACGUCGCAAGACCAAAGAGGGGGACCUUCGGGCCUCUUGCCAUCGGAUGUGCCCAGAUGGGAUUAGCUAGUAGGUGGGGUAAAGGCUCACCUAGGCGACGAUCCCUAGCUGGUCUGAGAGGAUGACCAGCCACACUGGAACUGAGACACGGUCCAG